UACGUAGGUGGCGAGCGUUGUCCGGAAUAACUGGGCGUAAAGGGAGCGUAGGUGGUUGAUUAAGUUAAAUGUGAAAGCCCAGGGCUCAACUCUGGAACUGCAUUUAAUACUGGUCGGCUAGAGUGCAGGAGAGGGCGAUGGAAUUCCAUGUGUAGCGGUAAAAUGCGUAGAUAUAUGGAGGAACACCAGUGGCGAAGGCGGUCGCCUGGCCUGUAACUGACGCUGAGGCACGAAAGCGUGGGGAGCAAAUAGG
Molecule: ribosomal RNA, 253 nt
Filed under: uncultured bacterium
Lineage: Bacteria
Description: partial 16S ribosomal RNA
Rfam family: Bacterial small subunit ribosomal RNA
Source: RNAcentral